This 501-nucleotide ribosomal RNA is filed under the name uncultured Glomus. Its description in RNAcentral is "SSU rRNA". It matches the Rfam family "Eukaryotic small subunit ribosomal RNA", at positions 569 to 1075 of the family's 1831-position model. Lineage: Eukaryota; Fungi; Glomeromycota; Glomeromycetes; Glomerales; Glomeraceae. The record is from RNAcentral.
AGCAGCCGCGGUAAUUCCAGCUCCAAUAGCGUAUAUUAAAGUUGUUGCAGUUAAAAAGCUCGUAGUUGAAUUUCGGGGUUAGCAGGUCGGUCGUGCCAUCGGUAUGAACUGGUCUCGCUGAUCCCUCCCUCUUGACGAACUGUGAUGCCAUUAAUUUGGUGUCGCAGGGAAUCAGGACUGUUACUUUGAAAAAUUGAGUGUUUAAAGCAGGCUCACGCUUGAAUACAUUAGCAUGGAAUAAUGAAAUAGGACGUUUGAUCCUAUUUUGUUGGCUUCUAGGAUUGACGUAAUGAUUAAUAGGGAUAGUUGGGGCAUUAGUAUUCAAUUGUCAGAGGUGAAAUUCUUGGAUUUAUUGAAGACUAAACUACUGCGAAAGCAUUUGCCAAGGAUGUUUUCAUUAAUCAAGAACGAAAGUUAGGGGAUCGAAGACGAUCAGAUACCGUCGUAGUCUUAAACCAUAAACUAUGCCGACUAGGGAUCGGAUGAUGUUAAUUUUUAAUG